Molecule: unclassified non-coding RNA, 376 nt
Filed under: uncultured Gammaproteobacteria bacterium
Lineage: Bacteria; Pseudomonadati; Pseudomonadota; Gammaproteobacteria
Description: contains 16S-23S intergenic spacer region
Source: RNAcentral
UCCGGCUUAUCACCGGCAGUCUCUCUAGAGUGCCCAACUGAAUGAUGGCAACUAGAGAUGAGGGUUGCGCUCGUUACGGGACUUAACCCAACAUCUCACGACGCGAGCUGACGACAGCCAUGCAGCACCUGUCUUACAGUUCCCGAAGGCACCCCACCAUCUCUGGCAGGUUCUGUAGAUGUCAAGGGCAGGUAAGGUUUUUCGCGUUGCAUCGAAUUGAACCACAUGCUCCACCGCUUGUGCGGGCCCCCGUCAAUUCCUUUGAGUUUUAACCUUGCGGCCGUACUCCCCAGGCGGGAUACUUAUUGCGUUAGCUGCGUCACCAAGAAGUUAAACUUCCCGACAACUAGUAUCCAUCGUUUAAGGCGUGGACUAC